GAUGAACGCUGGCGGCGUGCCUAAUACAUGCAAGUCGAGCGAACAGAUGAGGAGCUUGCUCCUCUGACGUUAGCGGCGGACGGGUGAGUAACACGUGGAUAACCUACCUAUAAGACUGGGAUAACUUCGGGAAACCGGAGCUAAUACCGGAUAAUAUAUUGAACCGCAUGGUUCAAUAGUGAAAGACGGUUUUGCUGUCACUUAUAGAUGGAUCCGCGCCGCAUUAGCUAGUUGGUAAGGUAACGGCUUACCAAGGCAACGAUGCGUAGCCGACCUGAGAGGGGGUACGCCCACCCGGGACCUGAGCGGCGGCCCAGCCUCCUAGGGGGGGCAGCGGAGGGGAAUCUUCCGAAAUGGGCGAAAGCUUGCCGGAGCAACGCCGGGGGGGUGAAGAAGGUUUGCGGUUCGUAAAACGUUGUUUUUGGGGAAAAAAAAAUUGGAAAGUAACUAUGCCCGUUUGAAGGGUACCUAUUCAGAAGCCCCCGGUAACCUCCUG
Molecule: ribosomal RNA, 496 nt
Filed under: uncultured bacterium
Lineage: Bacteria
Description: partial 16S ribosomal RNA
Rfam family: Bacterial small subunit ribosomal RNA
Source: RNAcentral